CAGCAUCCCUCUCCCUGACGCUGUUCCCAGCAUCCCUGUCUCUGACACUGUUCCCAGCAUCCCUCUCUCUGACACUGUUCCCAGCAUCCCUCACCCUGGGGUGUUCCCAGCAUCCCCCUCUCUGGGGCGUUCCCAGCAUCCCUCUCCCUGACGCUGUUCCCAGCAUCCCUCUCCCUGACGCUGUUCCCAGCAUCCCUGUCUCUGACACUGUUCCCAGCAUCCCUCUCUCUGACACUGUUCCCAGCAUCCCUCACCCUGGGGUGUUCCCAGCAUCCCCCUCUCUGGGGCGUUCCCAGCAUCCCUCUCCCUGACGCUGUUCCCAGCAUCCCCCUCCCUGACGCUGUUCCCAGCAUCCCCCUCCCUGACGCUGUUCCCAGCAUCCCCCUCCCUGAGGCUGUUCCCAGCAUCCCUCUCCCUGACGCUGUCCCAGCAUCUGUCUUUGUGACCGCGCGUCCCCAGGUCCCCAGCAAGGCCAGCCCGGUACAGCGCCAUCUUCCAGUGCCUUCCUCUAAGUGGCCGUCCCCUCUCAGUUCAAAGUGUCCUUGCGGUCGGCGUCCUGCAGCUGCAGCCCCUCCCCCGCCCAGCAAGGCCGCGAGGACCGGGGCCAGGACUUCGGUGUGGCCGAAGGCGCAAGGGGCUCACCGUCCGAUGCGCCCGAGGAGUCAAGGCGACGAGACCGAUGGCAGCAGCAGCUCCCUCGUGACAGAUGACGACAGUGCAAGCUGCAGGCAGCAGCCUUGUGACAUAGAUGGGAUUGUCCCCAUUUUGCAGGACUACUAUGUAGAUUCCUCGAGUUAUUCGGAAUGAUGAAAGCAGUGCUAAGCAGCUACAGGUGGAUGGGUUUGGCAACACCAGGAACCAUGGCAGGAGCCAUCACAGAUGUCUGGACGGAUGCCCCCACUCAAGAGGGAUAGGAUGGAAAUAGGAAAUAGCUGAGAACGCUUUAGGGUAUCUCGGAGGCCGACCAUCCAGGUCAACAGGAACCAACCCAAACCGUCCCCACGAGAGGCGCAGCAUCUCCCAGCACGCGGCACCAGCGCUGUUCCAGCACCCCACACUGGACAGAUCCGGGGAGCUCCAGGGUCUCACUGCAAUAAAUACUGAAAACAGCAAAUAAACCGAUGUGUGCAAGCAUAGCCCGGCAGCCUGCGAGCCGGUGCAGAGGGAAUGGCAGCGUCAGGGAGCCUCCGCACUUCUUCUCCAAAACCAGAAGAAACCACAGGUUUGGGUCAUGUCAGCUGCCAUCGUCAUCUCCAACCACAGCAGUUUGGGGUGACUGAGGCAGGAGCAGCCCUGCCAGGUUCUUGUAGGCUGAGGACAGCGAGACCAACAAAUGGGUUUAUGGUACACUGGCUCCUCCUGCGUGAGUCAUUGGAAGCAGUGAGCAAUCGUUAACUGCGUACUGAGUGCCAGACUCCGAGGCUGUUCAUCCCUCCGUGUCUACCACCCUUGGAGCACACAACUCUUCGGACAGCCCCUGCCCUUCCAGAGCUCACCCCUAAACCUGAGUAACCACCACGUGGUAACAGCACACACCAGUCAUGCUCUGGGCUAUGCUGGUAGCCGGACGUCUCUCCAUCCCGAAGUAUGGCUCCAGUCCCAGACCUCAGCGUCACCCGGAAUCUUGUUAGAAGCGCAGGAUCUCAAGGCCCACCCAGGACCAGCCGAGUCAGAGUCUGAUGUUUAACAACAUCCACAGGUGAUUCCUAUAGACGUGACCACUUGAGAAGCAUUGGCCUAAGCCCUUCACUUCCUAGGCUUAAGAAAAAAAGGGGGGAGAUUUCAUUUCCCAUUCAUUCUAACACACAGCGUCAUAUUACCACAAGCAAUGCUUCUGGGUGAGAGGCACGCCCACGUCUGCACACGCACACACUCGGCACACACAGAUGAGCACCUACCAUAGGAGCUGGCCACUGCAGAGAAAAGCAGUUGUCAAAUGAAUGGCUGUUCAGAUGAAUGAUUGUGAAGACCUAACAUUUGUUGAAUACCUACUAAGUGCUAGGCUCUGGGCUAGGAGCUUUCACACACUUGAUCUUCCUUAAUCCCCAUGUCAGCCCCCGGGGCAGGCCGCUGUUGUACCAGAUUUCCAGGUGGUUGCAAGUCCACGAACAAACAGUGGCCCUUCCUGGACCUAAUGGCACCCUUACCAGCUAUGGGGCUGGGAGAAAAGAAAAUUCAAUUUGAAAUGCAAAUUUCCCCGGAUGCCUUGCUCAUUUAUCUGGCAGCCUCACUCCCAGGGUUUCUGGAUCAGCAGGUGGGGGGUGGGGCUUGAGAAUUUGCAUCUUCAGGAAGUUCUCAGGGGACACUGAUAAUGCUGGCCUGAGAGCCGCACUUGGAGAACCACCGAGGAAGGUAAGGUAAUUAUCCCCAUUUUACAGGUGAGUAGAAUGAGGCACAAAAUUUUCAACGACUUGUCGAGGACCACGUACCCGUGAUGGGGACCCAGCAUUCUGCUCAUGAGCCACCAUGCUACACCACCCCAAUGAGAGGCACUUACUGCAAGAGGGACGGACAGUGGCCACCCCUGGGGGGGCUUUCUUUACAUGCUCGCUCCCUUAAAUCUGUCCUGCACACAAAACCAGAAUCAUUCUUUCAUUUUCUUUUAAUUUUCUUUUUGUAAAGAUUUGUUGAUUUAUUAGAGCGAGAGAGAGCAUGAGAAGCGGGGCAGAGGGAGAAGGAGAGAGUCUCAGGCAGACUCC
Canis lupus familiaris (dog) is the source of this 2699-nucleotide long non-coding RNA. RefSeq lists it as uncharacterized. The record is from RefSeq and is a predicted model, not a curated record. The transcript has 6 exons. Lineage: Eukaryota; Metazoa; Chordata; Mammalia; Carnivora; Canidae.